GUGGGGAAUAUUGGACAAUGGGCGAAAGCCUGAUCCAGCAAUGCCGCGUGAGUGAUGAAGGCCUUAGGGUUGUAAAGCUCUUUUACCCGGGAUGAUAAUGACAGUACCGGGAGAAUAAGCUCCGGCUAACUCCGUGCCAGCAGCCGCGGUAAUACGGAGGGAGCUAGCGUUGUUCGGAAUUACUGGGCGUAAAGCGCACGUAGGCGGCUUAGUAAGUCAGGGGUGAAAUCCCGGGGCUCAACCCCGGAACUGCCCUUGAAACUGCUAGGCUAGAAUCUUGGAGAGGCGAGUGGAAUUCCGAGUGUAGAGGUGAAAUUCGUAGAUAUUCGGAAGAACACCAGUGGCGAAGGCGACUCGCUGGACAAGUAUUGACGCUGAGGUGCGAAAGCGUGGGGAGCAAACAGGAUUAGAUACCCGAGUAGUCC
RNAcentral lists this ribosomal RNA (425 nucleotides) under uncultured bacterium. RNAcentral describes it as "bacterial SSU rRNA". It matches the Rfam family "Bacterial small subunit ribosomal RNA", at positions 354 to 796 of the family's 1533-position model. The record is from RNAcentral.